AACGUAGGAGGCAAGCGUUAUCCGGAUUUACUGGGCGUAAAGGGCGUGCAGGUGGUGGUCUAAGUGGUGCGUGAAAGCGCUCGGCUCAACCGGGCGAGGGCGUGCCAAACUGGGUCACUAGAAGCAGGCAGAGGCAAGUGGAAUUCGGGGUGUAGUGGUGAAAUGCGUAGAGAUCCCGAGGAACUCCUGUGGCGAAGGCGACUUGCUGGGCCUGCUUUGACACUCAGACGCGAAAGCAUGGGGAGCGAACGGG
RNAcentral lists this ribosomal RNA (253 nucleotides) under uncultured bacterium. RNAcentral's name for it is "partial 16S ribosomal RNA". It matches the Rfam family "Bacterial small subunit ribosomal RNA", at positions 524 to 776 of the family's 1533-position model. The record is from RNAcentral.